CAGCAAGCAGCCAUCCUGGAACAAUGAGACAGGAAGGGCCCACCUCAACAGAAUCCUGUAGUUCUGAAAGUUGGCAAGUCCAAGAUCAUGAUGCUGGCAGAUUUGGAGUCUGGUGAAGGCCUGGUUCCUGGUUCCUGGUUCUUUCUGUGUUCCCACAUGGCAGAAGGGAAACAUAAGUACCCAUGAGUAUAAAUCUAAACAAGGCAAACGAUGGCACGGACACCUCAUCAGUCGGAAGGAGAAGAUGACUAACUGCCCAGAAACUCUCAUCAGUAGAAAACGCAAUGACUUAAAUCUACAUAACAACUUUACCCUUGUUUACUGUGCUGACCUCAUCUUAACAGAACGUUAAGACUAUUUUUCAGGGGUGGCCAGCCAGCCAGGAGUAUGCACAGAGAAGAGAAAAUUUUGAUCUGCCAAUUGAAACUCCUGCCAGAGCUUCUGCAUACCAGCCUACCCUCUCUAAUCCCUUAAACCCUACCCUAUACCCUGGAUCCGGGAGACAGGUUUGAGAGCAUGUCCUCCUAUCUCCUUGCCAAUCGAUUGCAUAAUAAACUUUCUUCCCUUAAA
This 570-nucleotide long non-coding RNA is filed under the name Equus caballus (horse). RNAcentral describes it as "lncRNA (ENSECAG00000060266.1)". Lineage: Eukaryota; Metazoa; Chordata; Mammalia; Perissodactyla; Equidae. The record is from RNAcentral.